CUUGGUCAUUUAGAGGAAGUAAAAGUCGUAACAAGGUCUCCGUUGGUGAACCAGCGGAGGGAUCAUUACCGAGUUUACAACUCCCAAACCCCUGUGAACAUACCUAUACGUUGCCUCGGCGGAUCAGCCCGCGCCCCGUAAAACGGGACGGCCCGCCGCAGGACCCAUAAACCCUGAAUUUUAUUGUAACUUCUGAGUUUAAAAAACAAAUAAAUCAAAACUUUCAACAACGGAUCUCUUGGUUCUGGCAUCGAUGAAGAACGCAGCAAAAUGCGAUAAGUAAUGUGAAUUGCAGAAUUCAGUGAAUCAUCGAAUCUUUGAACGCACAUUGCGCCCCCUGGUAUUCCGGGGGGCAUGCCUGUUCGAGCGUCAUUUCACUACUCAAGCCUCGCUUGGUAUUGGGCGACGCGGUCCGCCGCGCGCCUCAAAUCGACCGGCUGGGUCUUCUGUCCCCUCAGCGUUGUGGAAACUAUUCGCUAAAGGGUGCCACGGGAGGCCACGCCGAAAAACAAACCCAUUUCUAAGGUUGACCUCGGAUCAGGUAGGGAUACCCGCUGAACUUAAGCAUAUCAAUAAGCGGA
RNAcentral lists this ribosomal RNA (581 nucleotides) under uncultured fungus. RNAcentral describes it as "eukaryotic LSU rRNA". The stretch from base 219 to 372 matches the Rfam family "5.8S ribosomal RNA". Lineage: Eukaryota; Fungi. The record is from RNAcentral.